Molecule: ribosomal RNA, 253 nt
Filed under: uncultured bacterium
Lineage: Bacteria
Description: partial 16S ribosomal RNA
Rfam family: Bacterial small subunit ribosomal RNA
Source: RNAcentral
GACAGAGGCCUCAAACGUUAGGCGGAAUCACUGGGCUUAAAGCGUGUGUAGGCGGAUCGUUAAGUGUCUUGUGAAAUCCCACGGCUCACCCGUGGAACUGCUGGGCAUACUGGCGAUCUUGGGCCAACUAGGGGCAACUGGAACAAGCGGUGGAGCGGUGAAAUGCGUAGAUAUCGCUUGGAACGCCAACGGUGAAAACAGGUUGCUGGGGUUGUGCCGACGCUGAGACACGAAAGCCAGGGGAGCAAACGGG